This 410-nucleotide ribosomal RNA is filed under the name uncultured bacterium. RNAcentral describes it as "bacterial SSU rRNA". It matches the Rfam family "Bacterial small subunit ribosomal RNA", at positions 945 to 1359 of the family's 1533-position model. The record is from RNAcentral.
UUUAAUUCGAUGAUACGCGAGGAACCUUACCAAAACUUAAAUGGGAAUUGACAGCUUUAGAAAUAGAGCUUUCUUCGGACAAUUUUCAAGGUGCUGCAUGGUUGUCGUCAGCUCGUGCCGUGAGGUGUUAGGUUAAGUCCUGCAACGAGCGCAACCCCUGUCACUAGUUGCCAUCAUUCAGUUGGGGACUCUAGUGAGACUGCCUACGCAAGUAGAGAGGAAGGUGGGGAUGACGUCAAAUCAUCACGGCCCUUACGUCUUGGGCCACACACGUAAUACAAUGGCCGGUACAGAGGGCAGCUACACAGCGAUGUGAUGCAAAUCUCGAAAGCCGGUCUCAGUUCGGAUUGGAGUCUGCAACUCGACUCUAUGAAGCUGGAAUCGCUAGUAAUCGCGCAUCAGCCAUGGCG